GAUGAACGCUGGCGGCGUGCCUAAUACAUGCAAGUCGAGCGAACGGACGAGAAGCUUGCUUCUCUGAUGUUAGCGGCGGACGGGUGAGUAACACGUGGAUAACCUACCUAUAAGACUGGGAUAACUUCGGGAAACCGGAGCUAAUACCGGGUAAUAUUUUGAACCGCAUGGUUCAAAAGUGAAAGACGGUCUUGCUGUCACUUAUAGAUGGAUCCGCGCUGCAUUAGCUAGUUGGUAAGGUAACGGCUUACCAAGGCAACGAUGCAUAGCCGACCUGAGAGGGUGAUCGGCCACACUGGAACUGAGCCACGGUCCAGACUCCUACGGGAGGCAGCAGUAGGGAAUCUUCCGCAAUGGGCGAAAGCCUGACGGAGCAACGCCGCGUGAGUGAUGAAGGUCUUCGGAUCGUAAAACUCUGUUAUUAGGGAAGAACAUAUGUGUAAGUAACUGUGCACAUCUUGACGGUACCUAAUCAGAAAGCCACGGCUAACUACGUG
Molecule: ribosomal RNA, 497 nt
Filed under: uncultured bacterium
Lineage: Bacteria
Description: partial 16S ribosomal RNA
Rfam family: Bacterial small subunit ribosomal RNA
Source: RNAcentral